GCGCCUGUAGCUCAGUAGGAUAGAGCGACGGAUUCCUAAUCCGUAGGUCGGGGGUUCGAAUCCUCCCGGGCGCACCA
RNAcentral lists this transfer RNA (77 nucleotides) under Candidatus Bipolaricaulota bacterium. RNAcentral describes it as "tRNA-Arg". It matches the Rfam family "tRNA". From Rfam's summary of the family: Transfer RNA (tRNA) molecules are approximately 80 nucleotides in length. Their secondary structure includes four short double-helical elements and three loops (D, anti-codon, and T loops). Further hydrogen bonds mediate the characteristic L-shaped molecular structure. tRNAs have two regions of fundamental functional importance: the anti-codon, which is responsible for specific mRNA codon recognition, and the 3' end, to which the tRNAs corresponding amino acid is attached (by aminoacyl-tRNA synthetases). tRNAs cope with the degeneracy of the genetic code in two manners: having more than one tRNA (with a specific anti-codon) for a particular amino acid; and 'wobble' base-pairing, i.e. permitting non-standard base-pairing at the 3rd anti-codon position. Lineage: Bacteria; Candidatus Bipolaricaulota. The record is from RNAcentral. RNAcentral also lists the same sequence under 1 other name.